GCGCGGGUGGUGGAACUGGUAGACACGCUACUUUGAGGGGGUAGUGGUCGCAAGGCUGUGAGAGUUCAAAUCUCUCCCCGCGCA
RNAcentral lists this transfer RNA (84 nucleotides) under Candidatus Omnitrophota bacterium. RNAcentral describes it as "Candidatus Omnitrophica bacterium tRNA-Leu". It matches the Rfam family "tRNA". Rfam says of the family: Transfer RNA (tRNA) molecules are approximately 80 nucleotides in length. Their secondary structure includes four short double-helical elements and three loops (D, anti-codon, and T loops). Lineage: Bacteria; Pseudomonadati; Candidatus Omnitrophota. The record is from RNAcentral.